CGGGUGAGUAAUGUAUGGGGAUCUGCCUGAUGGCGGGGGAUAACUACUGGAAACGGUAGCUAAUACCGCAUAAUGUCUACGGACCAAAGCGGGGGACCUUCGGGCCUCGCGCCAUCAGAUGAACCCAUAUGGGAUUAGCUAGUAGGUAAGGUAACGGCUUACCUAGGCGACGAUCCCUAGCUGGUCUGAGAGGAUGAUCAGCCACACUGGGACUGAGACACGGCCCAG
RNAcentral lists this ribosomal RNA (228 nucleotides) under uncultured bacterium. RNAcentral's name for it is "partial 16S ribosomal RNA". It matches the Rfam family "Bacterial small subunit ribosomal RNA", at positions 103 to 334 of the family's 1533-position model. The record is from RNAcentral.